RNAcentral lists this ribosomal RNA (492 nucleotides) under uncultured bacterium. RNAcentral describes it as "partial 16S ribosomal RNA". It matches the Rfam family "Bacterial small subunit ribosomal RNA", at positions 29 to 507 of the family's 1533-position model. The record is from RNAcentral.
AGUGAACGCUGGCGGUAGGCCUAACACAUGCAAGUCGAACGGCAGCACAGUAAGAGCUUGCUCUUACGGGUGGCGAGUGGCGGACGGGUGAGGAAUACAUCGGAAUCUACUUUUUCGUGGGGGAUAACGUAGGGAAACUUACGCUAAUACCGCAUACGACCUACGGGUGAAAGCAGGGGAUCUUCGGACCUUGCGCGAUUGAAUGAGCCGAUGUCGGAUUAGCUAGUUGGCGGGGUAAAGGCCCACCAAGGCGACGAUCCGUAGCUGGUCUGAGAGGAUGAUCAGCCACACUGGAACUGAGACACGGUCCAGACUACUACGGGAGGGAGCAGUGGGGAAUAGUGGACAAUGGGCGCAAGCCUGAUCCAGCCAUACCGCGUGGGUGAAGAAGGCCUUCGGGUUGUAAAGCCCUUUUGUUGGGAAAGAAAAGCAGCAGGUUAAUACCCCGCUGUUCUGACGGUACCCAAAGAAUAAGCACCGGCUAACUUCGUG